This is a long non-coding RNA of Myxocyprinus asiaticus (Chinese sucker), 1422 nucleotides long. RefSeq lists it as uncharacterized. The record is from RefSeq and is a predicted model, not a curated record. The transcript has 3 exons. NCBI's taxonomy places the organism in Eukaryota, Metazoa, Chordata, Actinopteri, Cypriniformes, Catostomidae.
UUUAAAUGCUUAUUUUUUUGUUGUUUUUGAUCAAUACUGACUAAAGAACAGUAAGAGUGGAUCACGUCCUUGGACACACAUCACACAGAGCAACUUUUACUCUCAACACUCAAUGAAAGGAUCUCGCUGCUGAAUACUCCACCAUUAAACUUCAAAAUUACUGGUCUGGUGGACGCCAGCAUGUUGGAUGAUUUGUAUAAGCAUUGGCUGACCGCCGUAAAGCAUUAUGUUCUGUUUGUGGAGUGGUGACUGAAGAUUAUGGUCAAAUGGCCCUAUCAAUGCUUAGGGGCCUCAACAGAUUUGCUUAUGACAGAGGUGAAUCCGCUCAUCAACUGUCUGGAGAACUCAAAGAUCAGCAUCGCUGGUACCAGGUGGAAGCGAACUGGGCCAAUCAGAACUGAGCUCCAGUGAGCGGCCGUGAUCAUGCUGUGGAGGCCCAAUGGUCGUUGCGUCUGGGGCUUCUACCGCUCGCGGGUGAUGGCAGCAUUAACCUGUGUGACACUGGUUUGCCCCUGCCAGAUGUUUCUGAAUGUGGGCAUCAACUGUCGCCAUUUAGGUUGAAGGAUGUUAUUCCUCUUCUUUCAGUGCGACGGAAGAAAAAGUUGCUACCAGUGAGAAGGCUGUCCUUAUGCACCAAAAUCAUGUCGCAUUUAAUGAAGUAUGCAUUGCAAUUUGUAAGUUGUGAGUAUUUUGUACAAAAGAUCCAUUUGAAAGUCUGAAGAUCAGAAAAAGUGGUCAUAAACAGGUUUUCAGUGAAAUAUGAAAUUUAAAGGUGCCUUCUGCCAAAUGUUAUGAAUAUAAAACAUGUGGUUUUGUUUUGGCACACCACUAAUUAUUCAGUCCUUUGAGUGGGAAGAUCUCACAAAAAUAUGUCCAUGUCAAAUUUCACCAUAAAAUUCCCAAAAAGACAUUAGAUUUCUCAUUAAGAAAACAAAGCCUUAUUUUAGGACCAUUAAGAUUUAUUUGCAUUGUGAGAAAUUACUGAAAUACAAUUAUAUGAUAUCUUUUUGUCUGUUUACAGUGACAAGAAAAAGUAUGAGAACCCUUUGGAAUUAGCGGGUUUUCUGCAUUAAUUGGUCAUAAAAUGUGAUCUUAUCUUCAUCAAAGUCAUAAGUAUAGACAAACACAACAUGCUUAAGCUAACAAUACACAAACAAUUAUACUCUUUCAUGUCUUUAUUGAACACAUCACAUUAAACAUUCACAGUCCUGUUGAAGAAGUAAGAACCCUUGGAUUUAAUAACUGGUCCAAAUCCUCCUUUGGCAACAGUAGCCAAACCAAGUGUUUCUGGUAACUGCGGAUUAGACCUGCACAAUUUUCAGAAGGAAUUUGGAACUAUUCUUCCUUACAGAACUGCUUCAGCUCAGCCAUAUUCUUAUGAUGUCUGGUGUGAAAGGCUCUCUUGAGGUCAUUCUACAGCAU